CGAGCGAGAACCCGCAAGGGGGACAGCGGCGAACGGGGUAGGAUAACGUAGGUAACGUACCCUCGGGGCGAGGACAGCCACGGGAAACUGUGGGUAAUACUCGAUAAUCUUCCCAGUCUUGAUUGGCGGGGAAGCAAUGGGUGUGAUUCCACCUGAGGAGCGGCUUACGCAGUAUCAGCUUGUUGGUGAGGUAACGGCUCACCAAGGCUAUGACGCUUAGGGGAUGUGAGAGCAUGAUCCCCACCACUGGCACUGAGACACUGGCCAGACACCUACGGGUGGCUGCAGUCGAGAAUCUUCGGCAAUGGACGCAAGUCUGACCGAGCGACGCCGCGUGCGGGAUGAAGGCCUUCGGGUUGUAAACCGCUGUCAGAGGGGAUGAAGUGUACGGGAGUUAUCUCCUGUA
RNAcentral lists this ribosomal RNA (406 nucleotides) under uncultured Planctomycetota bacterium. RNAcentral's name for it is "bacterial SSU rRNA". It matches the Rfam family "Bacterial small subunit ribosomal RNA", at positions 63 to 467 of the family's 1533-position model. Lineage: Bacteria; Pseudomonadati; Planctomycetota. The record is from RNAcentral.